UGCUUUGUCACCAAGAAACCCUAAACACGUUGUUGCAGACUUGAAGGUGGUUUGGAUAUUGGUCAUUCUCCACUUUGCUUCGGCACUAACCAUGUUACCCUCUCCACCCACAGCCGGCUUUUGUGCUCAGUAUAGGACGACACCGAAGCUACGUGUUCUCUGGAAUCGCCCUGCUGGCCCUAAAUUCAGUGAGUUAUAUAUGUUAAUUCCUUUUUGUUUUCAAUUUUAAUUUUAAUGAUGAUAAUUAUGUGAAAUUAGGUUUUGUAGCUUCUAUUCGUUGAUGAAAAUUUUAAGUGUUUUAGGCUAAAUUGAUAAUCUGAUUUAUACAUAGUUCAGAUGAAGAUUCUGGCGACGAUGACGGAUUUGCUUUCUUCAUCGAAAAUUUGUUGCAUGUGUGUUCUUUAGCCCAGUUCGUAAUCUCUUCAUUUGCUAUUGUUAAUUUUCUUUUUGUCUUAAUUUUUGGUUUCUGAUCUUUAUUUGAUUUAAUGUUGCUCAUUUUCUUGAGUAGUUGUUCUUCUUCGCCUGUAGUCUAGCUGGUAUGUUUAGAUUUUUUUUUAUUAUGUUAUAGUUGUAAUUUUAGUACGCAGGUUUGUUUAACAAAGGGAAGUUGUUUAAUUUGGUGGAAGCUUGUCACAGAAGAACUCUAUAAAAUAUAUGUCUUCUUUGGCGGGAUUCCUUUCUCGAUUGUGGAACUGACGUUGUUAUUCGAAAUUCUCUCAGGUUGUUUUGCCUGGCUGGAUUAAUGGUUAUUGCAGUUGCUGAAUGUGCUACGUGGUUUUUGGACGACGGUGGUUAGUCGCUUUUAUUGUUGUGUAGUUUUUUUAUUCGGGGGUUCCAGUUGCUGUUAUAAUUUAUUAGAUGAUCGUAUUUACAAGCCGCCCCAUAUUUACAUGUCCCAUGCCUACUGAAGUUGAUGGUUCCGAUUCUUUUGCUGUCAAAUAAACUUGCAAAUUAGAUAAGAACAUGCUUUGAAGACUGGACCAUUGAUGUAGAAAAACAAACUACCAAAGAAAUUAAUGAUUCUAUUGCUCAGGCUCGCCUUUUAAACGGGUCAAGCAUGUCAAAUGUUGAAAAUUGGCUAAUAAUGAAAGGGCAUAUCAAUAUGUAGUAAAUUUGAGUGUAGAAAAUUAUGUUGAAUAAUCUAGAAGGUUGUUUAUUAAGGGUUAGCAAGUAUGCUUUGUAGCAUCAUGUAGCUACUUCUGGAUUUUUACCUGUUUUAUUUGGUGUUCACAUACCAUGUGAUCUUAGUUAAUCCUUGAUAUAUAGGCUAGGCUAGGCGAUGUGACUAUAGAACACUAAUGUAAUGGAUGUGGGUUUUAUUAGUGGACACUUGGGUU
RNAcentral lists this long non-coding RNA (1337 nucleotides) under Helianthus annuus (common sunflower). RNAcentral's name for it is "hypothetical non coding rna". The record is from RNAcentral. Lineage: Eukaryota; Viridiplantae; Streptophyta; Magnoliopsida; Asterales; Asteraceae.